RNAcentral lists this ribosomal RNA (253 nucleotides) under uncultured bacterium. Its description in RNAcentral is "partial 16S ribosomal RNA". It matches the Rfam family "Bacterial small subunit ribosomal RNA", at positions 524 to 776 of the family's 1533-position model. The record is from RNAcentral.
UACGGGGGGUGCGAGCGUUGUCCGGAAUCACUGGGCGUAAAGGGCGCGUAGGUGGCGUGAUAAGGGUGUGGUGAAAGCCCGGGGCUCAACCCCGGGUCGGCCAUGCCGACUGUCAGGCUAGAGUGUGGUAGAGGAAGAUGGAAUUCCUGGUGUAGCGGUGAAAUGCGUAGAUAUCAGGAGGAACACCGGUGGCGAAGGCGCUCAUCUGGCCCAAUACUGACGCUGAGGCGCGAAAGCUAGGGGAGCAAACGGG